GGUGAACGCUGGCGGCGUGCCUAAGACAUGCAAGUCGAGCGGGCCGCGGGGUUUUACUCCGUGGUCAGCGGCGGACGGGUGAGUAACGCGUGGGUGACCUACCCGGAAGAGGGGGACAACCCGGGGAAACUCGGGCUAAUCCCCCAUGUGGACCCGCCCCUUGGGGUGUGUCCAAAGGGCUUUGCCCGCUUCCGGAUGGGCCCGCGUCCCAUCAGCUAGUUGGUGGGGUAAUGGCCCACCAAGGCGACGACGGGUAGCCGGCCUGAGAGGGUGGCCGGCCACAGGGGCACCGAGACACGGGCCCCACUCCUACGGGAGGCAGCAGUUAGGAAUCUUCCGCAAUGGGCGCAAGCCUGACGGAGCGACGCCGCUUGGAGGAAGAAGCCCUUCGGGGUGUAAACUCCUGAACCCGGGACGAAACCCCCGACGAGGGGACUGACGGUACCGGGGUAAUAGCGCCGGCCAACUCCGUG
This 473-nucleotide ribosomal RNA is filed under the name uncultured bacterium. Its description in RNAcentral is "partial 16S ribosomal RNA". It matches the Rfam family "Bacterial small subunit ribosomal RNA", at positions 28 to 507 of the family's 1533-position model. The record is from RNAcentral.